Molecule: long non-coding RNA, 106 nt
Organism: Sapajus apella (tufted capuchin)
Lineage: Eukaryota; Metazoa; Chordata; Mammalia; Primates; Cebidae
Exons: 2
Source: RefSeq, a predicted model, not a curated record
AGGCUGAGGCAGGAGAAUCUCUUAAACCUGGAAGAUGAAGGCUGUGUUGAGCCGUGAUGAUGUCACUGCACUCCAGCCUGGGUGACAGAGUGAGACCCCAUCUUAA